GACGAACGCUGGCGGCGUGCUUAACACAUGCAAGUCGAACGGAGUGGCGAACGGGUGAGUAACACGUGGGUGACCUUCCCUGCACUUCGGGAUAAGCCUGGGAAACUGGGUCUAAUACCGGAUAGUGUGGGAUGGGCCCGCGGCCUAUCAGCUUGUUGGGGGGGUAAUGGCCUACCAAGGCGGCGACGGGUAGCCGGCCUGAGGGGGUGGACGGCCACAUUGGGACUGAGACACGGACCAGAGUCCAACGGGGGGCAGCGGGGGGGAAUAUUGCGCAAUGGGCGGAAGCCUGAUGAAGCGACGCCGCGUGGGGGAUGACGGCCUUCGGGGUGUAAACGCCUUUCACCAUCGACGCGGUAGAUGGAGAAGAAGCACCGGCUAACUACGUGCCAGCAGCCGCGGUAAUAC
This 408-nucleotide ribosomal RNA is filed under the name uncultured bacterium. Its description in RNAcentral is "partial 16S ribosomal RNA". It matches the Rfam family "Bacterial small subunit ribosomal RNA", at positions 28 to 526 of the family's 1533-position model. The record is from RNAcentral.